RNAcentral lists this ribosomal RNA (203 nucleotides) under uncultured bacterium. RNAcentral's name for it is "partial 16S ribosomal RNA". It matches the Rfam family "Bacterial small subunit ribosomal RNA", at positions 1290 to 1500 of the family's 1533-position model. The record is from RNAcentral.
AGUUCGGAUUGGAGUCUGCAACCCGACUCCAUGAAGCUGGAUUCGCUAGUAAUCGCGCAUCAGCCACGGCGCGGUGAAUACGUUCCCGGGCCUUGUACACACCGCCCGUCAAGCCAUGGAAGCCGGGGGUGCCUGAAGUGCGCUGCCGCAAGGAGCGCCCUAGGGUAAAACCGGUGACUGGGGCUAAGUCGUAACAAGGUAAC